This 1341-nucleotide ribosomal RNA is filed under the name uncultured bacterium. Its description in RNAcentral is "partial 16S ribosomal RNA". It matches the Rfam family "Bacterial small subunit ribosomal RNA", at positions 28 to 1381 of the family's 1533-position model. The record is from RNAcentral.
GACGAACGUUGGCGGCGUGCUUAACACAUGCAAGUCGAACGGUAAGGCUCCAGCUUGCUGGGGUACACGAGUGGCGAACGGGUGAGUAACACGUGGGUGACCUGCCCUGCACUUCGGGAUAAGCCUGGGAAACUGGGUCUAAUACCGGAUAGGACCGCACCGUGAGGGUGUGGUGGAAAGUUUUUUCGGUGUGGGAUGGGCCCGCGGCCUAUCAGCUUGUUGGUGGGGUAAUGGCCUACCAAGGCGGCGACGGGUAGCCGGCCUGAGAGGGUGGACGGCCACAUUGGGACUGAGACACGGCCCAGACUCCUACGGGAGGCAGCAGUGGGGAAUAUUGCACAAUGGGCGGAAGCCUGAUGCAGCGACGCCGCGUGGGGGAUGACGGCCUUCGGGUUGUAAACUCCUUUCACCAUCGACGAAGGGUUUCUGACGGUAGAUGGAGAAGAAGCACCGGCUAACUACGUGCCAGCAGCCGCGGUAAUACGUAGGGUGCGAGCGUUGUCCGGAAUUACUGGGCGUAAAGAGCUCGUAGGUGGUUUGUCGCGUCGUCUGUGAAAUUCCGGGGCUUAACUCCGGGCGUGCAGGCGAUACGGGCAUAACUUGAGUACUGUAGGGGAGACUGGAAUUCCUGGUGUAGCGGUGAAAUGCGCAGAUAUCAGGAGGAACACCGGUGGCGAAGGCGGGUCUCUGGGCAGUAACUGACGCUGAGGAGCGAAAGCAUGGGGAGCGAACAGGAUUAGAUACCCUGGUAGUCCAUGCCGUAAACGGUGGGCGCUAGGUGUGGGUUUCCUUCCACGGGAUCCGUGCCGUAGCUAACGCAUUAAGCGCCCCGCCUGGGGAGUACGGCCGCAAGGCUAAAACUCAAAGGAAUUGACGGGGGCCCGCACAAGCGGCGGAGCAUGUGGAUUAAUUCGAUGCAACGCGAAGAACCUUACCUGGGCUUGACAUAUACAGGAUCGCGCCAGAGAUGGUGUUUCCCUUGUGGCUUGUAUACAGGUGGUGCAUGGUUGUCGUCAGCUCGUGUCGUGAGAUGUUGGGUUAAGUCCCGCAACGAGCGCAACCCUUGUCUUAUGUUGCCAGCACGUUGUGGUGGGGACUCGUAAGAAACUGCCGGGGUUAACUCGGAGGAAGGUGGGGAUGACGUCAAAUCAUCAUGCCCCUUAUGUCCAGGGCUUCACACAUGCUACAAUGGUCGGUACAGUGGGUUGCCAGUCCGUGAGGGCGAGCUAAUCCCGCAAAGCCGGCCUCAGUUCGGAUCGGGGUCUGCAACUCGACCCCGUGAAGUCGGAGUCGCUAGUAAUCGCAGAUCAGCAACGCUGCGGUGAAUACGUUCCCGGGCCU